RNAcentral lists this ribosomal RNA (464 nucleotides) under Vreelandella stevensii. Its description in RNAcentral is "partial 16S ribosomal RNA". It matches the Rfam family "Bacterial small subunit ribosomal RNA", at positions 338 to 795 of the family's 1533-position model. Lineage: Bacteria; Pseudomonadati; Pseudomonadota; Gammaproteobacteria; Oceanospirillales; Halomonadaceae. The record is from RNAcentral.
CCUACGGGUGGCAGCAGUGGGGAAUAUUGGACAAUGGGCGAAAGCCUGAUCCAGCCAUGCCGCGUGUGUGAAGAAGGCCUUCGGGUUGUAAAGCACUUUCAGUGGGGAAGAAAGCCUUGGGGCUAAUACCCUCGAGGAAGGACAUCACCCACAGAAGAAGCACCGGCUAACUCCGUGCCAGCAGCCGCGGUAAUACGGAGGGUGCGAGCGUUAAUCGGAAUUACUGGGCGUAAAGCGCGCGUAGGCGGUCUGAUAAGCCGGUUGUGAAAGCCCCGGGCUCAACCUGGGAACGGCAUCCGGAACGGUCAGGCUAGAGUGCAGGAGAGGAAGGUAGAAUUCCCGGUGUAGCGGUGAAAUGGGUAGAGAUCGGGAGGAAUACCAGUGGCGAAGGCGGCCUUCUGGACUGACACUGACGCUGAGGUGCGAAAGCGUGGGUAGCAAACAGGAUUAGAACCCGAGUAGUC